This 404-nucleotide ribosomal RNA is filed under the name uncultured bacterium. RNAcentral describes it as "bacterial SSU rRNA". It matches the Rfam family "Bacterial small subunit ribosomal RNA", at positions 355 to 776 of the family's 1533-position model. The record is from RNAcentral.
UGGGGAAUAUUGCACAAUGGGGGAAACCCUGAUGCAGCGACGCCGCGUGAGCGAUGAAGUAUUUCGGUAUGUAAAGCUCUAUCAGCAGGGAAGAAGAUGACGGUACCUGACUAAGAAGCCCCGGCUAACUACGUGCCAGCAGCCGCGGUAAUACGUAGGGGGCAAGCGUUAUCCGGAUUUACUGGGUGUAAAGGGAGCGUAGACGGCGGCGCAAGCCAGAUGUGAAAGCCCGGGGCUCAACUCCGGGACUGCAUUUGGAACUGUGUGGCUGGAGUGUCGGAGAGGCAGGCGGAAUUCCUAGUGUAGCGGUGAAAUGCGUAGAUAUUAGGAGGAACACCAGUGGCGAAGGCGGCCUGCUGGACGAUGACUGACGUUGAGGCUCGAAAGCGUGGGGAGCAAACAGG